UUACGGGAGGCAGCAGUGGGGAAUAUUGCACAAUGGGCGCAAGCCUGAUGCAGCGACGCCGCGUGAGGGAUGACGGCCUUCGGGUUGUAAACCUCUUUCAGUACCGACGAAGCGGAAGUGACGGUAGGUACAGAAGAAGCACCGGCCAACUACGUGCCAGCAGCCGCGGUAAUACGUAGGGUGCGAGCGUUGUCCGGAAUUACUGGGCGUAAAGAGCUCGUAGGUGGUUUGUCGCGUUGUUCGUGAAAACCUGAGGCUUAACCUUGGGCGUGCGGGCGAUACGGGCAGACUGGAGUACUGCAGGGGAGACUGGAAUUCCUGGUGUAGCGGUGGAAUGCGCAGAUAUCAGGAGGAACACCGGUGGCGAAGGCGGGUCUCUGGGCAGUAACUGACGCUGAGGAGCGAAAGCGUGGGGAGCGAACAGGAUUAGAUACCCCGGUAGUCCG
Molecule: ribosomal RNA, 446 nt
Filed under: uncultured bacterium
Lineage: Bacteria
Description: bacterial SSU rRNA
Rfam family: Bacterial small subunit ribosomal RNA
Source: RNAcentral